This 486-nucleotide ribosomal RNA is filed under the name uncultured bacterium. RNAcentral describes it as "partial 16S ribosomal RNA". It matches the Rfam family "Bacterial small subunit ribosomal RNA", at positions 28 to 507 of the family's 1533-position model. The record is from RNAcentral.
GAUGAACGCUGGCGGCGUGCUUAACACAUGCAAGUCGAACGAUGAAGCCCAGCUUGCUGGGUGGAUUAGUGGCGAACGGGUGAGUAACACAUGAGUAACCUGCCCUUAACUCUGGGAUAAGCCUGGGCAACUGGGUCUAAUACCGGAUAGGAGCGUCCACCGCCUGGUGGGUGUUGGAGAGAUUUAUCGGUUUUGGAUGGACUCGCGGCGUAUCAGCUUGUUGGUGAGGUAAUGGCUCACCAAGGCGACGACGCGUAGCCGGCCUGAGAGGGUGAUCGGCCACACUGGAACUGAGACACGGUCCAGACUCCUACGGGAGGCAGCAGUAGGGAAUCUUCCGCAAUGGGCGAAAGCCUGACGGAGCGAUGCCGCGUGGGUGAUGAAGGUCUUCGGGUCGUAAAGCUCUGUUGUUAGGGAAGAACAGCAGGAUGAGAAAAUGUGCAUAUUUUGACGGUACCUAAAGAGAAAGCCACGGCUAACUUCGUG